Molecule: ribosomal RNA, 2409 nt
Filed under: Fidelibacterota bacterium
Lineage: Bacteria; Pseudomonadati; Fidelibacterota
Description: partial 23S ribosomal RNA
Rfam family: Bacterial large subunit ribosomal RNA
Source: RNAcentral
ACCUUGCACGGGUUAUACCGUGUAAUCCCUAACUGAAUUCAUAGGUUAGGGAAGAUAACCAGGGGAAUUGAAACAUCUUAGUACCCUGAGGAACAGAAAGCAAAAGCGAUUCUCUUAGUAGCGGCGAGCGAAAGGGGAACAGCCUAAACCAGAUUGUAUGUUAAAGCUCGUGGGCGUUGUACAUCUGGGGUUGUGGGUUUUAACUGGGCGGAACUACGAAUCCGCCGGGGUGUAAGAAAAACAUGUUAUAGCUUAAGAAACUGGAAAGUUUCGCCAUAGAGGGUGAUAGCCCCGUGAGCGAAAUGGCAUGUUCACUCUGGGUCAGAUACCCGAGUACCGCGGGACACGAGAAAUCUUGUGGGAAUCUGGGAGGACCACCUCCUAAGGCUAAAUACUGUUGACGACCGAUAGUGAACUAGUACCGUGAGGGAAAGGUGAAAAGCACCCCGGUAAGGGGAGUGAAAUAGAAUAUGAAACCGCAAGCUUACAAUCAGUGGGAGCACUAUAUUUCUGCUUCGGCAGAGACAGGUGUGACCGCGUACCUUUUGCAUAAUGAGCCGUCGAGUUACUUUAUAUAGCAAGGUUAAGCCGUUAGGUGUAGCCGUAGCGAAAGCGAGUCUGAAUAGGGCGAUUAGUUAAGUGGAGUAGACCCGAAACCGGGUGAUCUAUCCAUGACCAGGGUGAAGCGAAGGUAACACUUCGUGAAGGCCCGAACCAGUAGUCGUUGAAAAGACUUUGGAUGAGUUGUGGAUAGGGGUGAAAGGCCAAUCAAACCCGGCAAUAGCUGGUUCUCCUCGAAAUAGUUUUAGGACUAGCCUUGCAUAAAAUAGCAUAUGGAGGUAGGGCUCUGGAUGGGCUAGGGGCCUCACCAGGUUACCAAACCCAACCAAUCUUCGAAUUCCAUAUGUGGUACUGCAGGAGUCAGACUAUGGGUGAUAAGGUCCAUGGUCGAAAGGGAAAGAGCCCAGAUCACCAGCUAAGGUCCCAAAGCCAUGCUAAGUGGGAAAGGCUGUGGGAAUACACAGACAAUCAGGAGGUUGGCUUAGAAGCAGCAAUCCUUUAAAGAAAGCGUAAUAGCUCACUGAUCAAGUGUACCUGCGCCGAAAAUUUAUCGGGGCUAAGCAUGGCACCGAAGCUGUGAAUUGGAAAUCAUUUCGAUGAUUUCUUCUGGUAGAGGAGCGUUCCAUACUGGGUUGAAGCUCGACCGUAAGGACGGGUGGACUGUAUGGAAGUGAGUAUGACGGCAUGAGUAACGAUAAAACAGGUGAGAAACCUGUUCGCCGAAAAUCCAAGGUUUCCUGAGGAAGGGUAAUCCUCUCAGGGUAAGUCGGCCCCUAAGACAAGGCUGAAAAGCGUAGCCGAUGGGAAACGGGUUAAUAUUCCCGUACCGGCCAAAUCGCGUUAUUAGCGAUGGGGUAACGUAGAAGGGUAGUCUAUCCGGGUGUUGGAUGUCCCGGUACAAGCAGGUAGGAGGGUGGCUUUGGCAAAUCCGGGCCGCCAUUCAACUCCGAGAUGUUAUGAGGAGCUUCUCCUUCGGGACAAGCGAACUAGAUGAUCCCAUGCUACCUAGAAAAACCUCUAGUGAGCUGUUUGGCCGACCGUACUCUAAACCAACUCAGGUGGAUGAGUAGAGAAUACUAAGGCGCUUGAGAGAACUCUGGUUAAGGAACUCGGCAAAUUGACUCCGUAACUUAGGGAUAAGGAGUGCCCCCAUUAGGUGAAAGAACUUGCUUCUGGAGCCGACGGGGGUUGCAGUGACCAGGUAGCCGCGACUGUUUACUAAAAACAUAGGACUCUGCGAAGUCGCAAGACGAAGUAUAGGGUCUGACGCCUGCCCGGUGCCGGAAGGUUAAAAGGAGGGGUUAGUCUUCGGACGAAGCUCUGAAUUGAAGCCCCGGUAAACGGCGGCCGUAACUAUAACGGUCCUAAGGUAGCGAAAUUCCUUGUCGGGUAAGUUCCGACCUGCACGAAUGGCGUAACGAUGGCUACACUGUCUCAACCAGGGACUCAGUGAAAUUGACAUACCGGUGAAGAUGCCGGUUUCCCGCGACAGGACGGAAAGACCCCGUGCACCUUUACUACAACCUGAUAUGGAAUAUCGGUUUAGUAUGUGUAGGAUAGGUGGGAGACUUUGAAACUUUGGCGCUAGCUAAGGUGGAGUCACCCUUGAAAUACCACCCUUAUUACACUGCUAUUCUAACCUCGAUCCCGUGAAUCCGGGUCAGGGACAAUGUCAGGCGGGUAGUUUGACUGGGGCGGUCGCCUCCUAAAAUGUAACGGAGGCGCGCGAAGGUUCUCUCAGGCUGAUUGGAAACCAGCCUUCGAGUGCAAAGGCAUAAGAGAGCUUGACUGCGAGACUUACAAGUCGAGCAGGUACGAAAGUAGGGCAUAGUGAUCCGGCGGUUGCGU